RNAcentral lists this ribosomal RNA (320 nucleotides) under Escherichia coli. RNAcentral's name for it is "bacterial SSU rRNA". It matches the Rfam family "Bacterial small subunit ribosomal RNA", at positions 708 to 1027 of the family's 1533-position model. Lineage: Bacteria; Pseudomonadati; Pseudomonadota; Gammaproteobacteria; Enterobacterales; Enterobacteriaceae. The record is from RNAcentral.
ACCGGUGGCGAAGGCGGCCCCCUGGACGAAGACUGACGCUCAGGUGCGAAAGCGUGGGGAGCAAACAGGAUUAGAUACCCUGGUAGUCCACGCCGUAAACGAUGUCGACUUGGAGGUUGUGCCCUUGAGGCGUGGCUUCCGGAGCUAACGCGUUAAGUCGACCGCCUGGGGAGUACGGCCGCAAGGUUAAAACUCAAAUGAAUUGACGGGGGCCCGCACAAGCGGUGGAGCAUGUGGUUUAAUUCGAUGCAACGCGAAGAACCUUACCUGGUCUUGACAUCCACAGAACUUUCCAGAGAUGGAUUGGUGCCUUCGGGAAC